GGCGUCUCCAGAGGCACAGCACGAAGCCACACUGUGUUGACAACUCAUGACACACACUGGGGCUGGUGCUCUCCCAGGCCCCAGCUCAGGGCUCCCCACACCCAUCUGUGUGUCUCCUAGGGAGAACUGACCAUCACGACUGACAUGGAAGAUCUGUCCACGGCUCUCUUCUAUGACACUGUGCCUGAUACGUGGAUGGCCCGGGCCUACCCCUCCAUGAUGGGCCUGGCUGCCUGGUACGCAGAUCUGCUGCUCCGCAUCAGGGAACUUGAGGCCUGGACGACAGACUUUGCCCUGCCCACCACCGUGUGG
This 312-nucleotide small RNA is filed under the name Pongo abelii (Sumatran orangutan). RNAcentral describes it as "retained intron". Lineage: Eukaryota; Metazoa; Chordata; Mammalia; Primates; Hominidae. The record is from RNAcentral.